AGGCUUGUAGCUCAGCUGGUUAGAGCGCACCCCUGAUAAGGGUGAGGUCACAACGCCGACCGGCUUG
RNAcentral lists this transfer RNA (67 nucleotides) under Alteromonas mediterranea MED64. RNAcentral's name for it is "tRNA-Ile (GAT) (tRNA-Ile-GAT-2-1)". It matches the Rfam family "tRNA". From Rfam's summary of the family: Transfer RNA (tRNA) molecules are approximately 80 nucleotides in length. The record is from RNAcentral. Lineage: Bacteria; Pseudomonadati; Pseudomonadota; Gammaproteobacteria; Alteromonadales; Alteromonadaceae.